GGGGGUGUGGCUCAGCGGUAGAGCGCUCAUCUCACACACGGGACCUUGGGUUUGAUCCUCAGCACCACGU
RNAcentral lists this transfer RNA (70 nucleotides) under Marmota monax (woodchuck). RNAcentral's name for it is "tRNA.Val". The record is from RNAcentral. Lineage: Eukaryota; Metazoa; Chordata; Mammalia; Rodentia; Sciuridae.